This 424-nucleotide ribosomal RNA is filed under the name uncultured prokaryote. RNAcentral's name for it is "bacterial SSU rRNA". It matches the Rfam family "Bacterial small subunit ribosomal RNA", at positions 355 to 796 of the family's 1533-position model. The record is from RNAcentral.
UGGGGAAUAUUGGACAAUGGGGGCAACCCUGAUCCAGCCAUGCCGCGUGAGUGAAGAAGGCCUUAGGGUUGUAAAGCUCUUUCAGUCGUGACGAUGAUGACGGUAGCGACAGAAGAAGCCCCGGCUAACUCCGUGCCAGCAGCCGCGGUAAUACGGAGGGGGCAAGCGUUGUUCGGAUUUACUGGGCGUAAAGGGCGCGUAGGCGGGGUAUCCAGUUAGGGGUGAAAGCCCGGGGCUCAACCUCGGAACUGCCUUUAAAACUACCAGUCUAGAGAUCGAGAGAGGUAAGUGGAAUUCCUAGUGUAGAGGUGAAAUUCGUAGAUAUUAGGAAGAACACCAGUGGCGAAGGCGGCUUACUGGCUCGAUACUGACGCUGAGGCGCGAAAGCGUGGGGAGCAAACAGGAUUAGAUACCCCCGUAGUCC